CAAGUCGAACGCGAAAGUCCCGCAAGGGAUAAGUAGAGUGGCAAACGGGUGAGUAACACGUGGGUGACCUGCCUUCGAGCGGGGGAUAACGUCCCGAAAGGGACGCUAAUACCGCAUAACAUCCUGCCUUUGAAGAGGUGGUGAUCAAAGCUGGGGAUCGCAAGACCUAGCACUCGAAGAGGGGCCCGCGUCCGAUUAGCUAGUUGGUGGGGUAAUGGCCCACCAAGGCAACGAUCGGUAGCCGGCCUGAGAGGGCGGACGGCCACACUGGGACUGAGACACGGCCCAGACUCCUACGGGAGGCAGCAGUGGGGAAUUGUUCGCAAUGGGCGCAAGCCUGACGACGCAACGCCGCGUGGAGGAUGAAGAUCUUCGGGUCGUAAACUCCUUUCGAUCGAGACGAAUUCCUCCGGGGUGAACAAUCCCGGAGGUUGACGGUACCGAGAGAAGAAGCCCCGGCUAACUCCGUGCCAGCAGCCGCGGUAAUACGGGGGGGGCAAGCGUUGUUCGGAAUUACUGGGCGUAAAGGGCUCGUAGGUGGCCAACUAAGUCGGACGUGAAAUCCCUCGGCUUAACCGGGGAACUGCGUCCGAUACUGGUUGGCUUGAGUUUGGGAGAGGGAUGCGGAAUUCCAGGUGUAGCGGUGAAAUGCGUAGAUAUCUGGAGGAACACCGGUGGCGAAGGCGGCAUCCUGGACCAAUACUGACGCUGAGGAGCGAAAGCCAGGGGAGCAAACGGGAUUAGAUACCCCGGUAGUCCUGGCCCUAAACGAUGAAUGCUUGGUGUGGCGGGUAUCGAUCCCUGCCGUGCC
This 811-nucleotide ribosomal RNA is filed under the name uncultured Pseudomonadota bacterium. RNAcentral describes it as "bacterial SSU rRNA". It matches the Rfam family "Bacterial small subunit ribosomal RNA", at positions 58 to 847 of the family's 1533-position model. The record is from RNAcentral. Lineage: Bacteria; Pseudomonadati; Pseudomonadota.